AGUCGAGCGAGAAAGCACUUCGGUGCGAGUACAGCGGCGGACGGGUGAGUAACGCGUAGGAAUCUACCUGGUAGUGGGGGACAACUCGGGGAAACUCGAGCUAAUACCGCAUACGCCCUUCGGGGGAAAGCGGGGGAUCUUCGGACCUCGCGCUAUUGGAUGAGCCUGCGUCGGAUUAGCUUGUUGGUGAGGUAAAGGCUCACCAAGGCGACGAUCCGUAGCUGGUCUGAGAGGAUGAUCAGCCACACUGGGACUGAGACACGGCCCAGACUCCUACGGGAGGCAGCAGUGGGGAAUAUUGCGCAAUGGGGGAAACCCUGACGCAGCCAUGCCGCGUGUGUGAAGAAGGCCCUAGGGUUGUAAAGCACUUUCAAUAGGGAGAAAAGGCGUACGGCUAAUACCCGUGCGAGUUGAUGUUACCUAUAGAAGAAGCACCGGCUAACUCCGUGCCAGCAGCCGCGGUAAUACGGAGGGUGCGAGCGUUAAUCGGAAUUACUGGGCGUAAAGCGCGCGUAGGUGGUCUGUUAAGUCAGCUGUGAAAGCCCCGGGCUUAACCUGGGAACUGCAGUUGAUACUGGCAGGCUAGAGUACGAGAGAGGGAGGUAGAAUUCCAUGUGUAGCGGUGAAAUGCGUAGAUAUAUGGAGGAAUACCAGUGGCGAAGGCGGCCUCCUGGCUCGAUACUGACACUGAGGUGCGAAAGCGUGGGUAGCAAACAGGAUUAGAUACCCUGGUAGUCCACGCCGUAAACGAUGUCUACUAGCCGUUGGGUGACUUGAUCGCCUAGUGGCGCAGCUAACGCAAUAAGUAGACCGCCUGGGGAGUACGGCCGCAAGGGUAAAACUCAAAUGAAUUGACGGGGGCCCGCACAAGCGGUGGAGCAUGUGGUUUAAUUCGAUGCAACGCGAAGAACCUUACCAGGCCUUGACAUCCAGAGAACUUCCUAGAGAUAGGUUGGUGCCUUCGGGAACUCUGUGACAGGUGCUGCAUGGCUGUCGUC
RNAcentral lists this ribosomal RNA (998 nucleotides) under uncultured bacterium. Its description in RNAcentral is "bacterial SSU rRNA". It matches the Rfam family "Bacterial small subunit ribosomal RNA", at positions 60 to 1056 of the family's 1533-position model. The record is from RNAcentral.